GUGUGUUUAAGUACAUUUUCCCUCCAGGCAAACCUUUCAGAUAUAUUGCCACUUUUGAAAAUCUUGGAUUUCAACCACUUUUAGCUUAAUAUCUGCUAGAAACCAUUGCUCAUUUUAUUGACUUAGUUGAAUUCACCAAAUAUUCAGUUUGGCAUACUUAUUCAAUAAAUGUCUACACAACACACGCUGGAUUUCCAGAAAGCGU
RNAcentral lists this long non-coding RNA (205 nucleotides) under Mytilus galloprovincialis (Mediterranean mussel). The record is from RNAcentral. Lineage: Eukaryota; Metazoa; Mollusca; Bivalvia; Mytilida; Mytilidae.